Molecule: non-coding RNA, 81 nt
Filed under: human gut metagenome
Description: S10-Clostridia ribosomal protein leader
Rfam family: S10-Clostridia ribosomal protein leader
Source: RNAcentral
UGAUAGCGUUGAAGCGUGAGGUUGCUGCCGGGAUACGGCAGGUUUUCCGUGGAGCGAGUCAAGUUAUAAAACUGGCGACAA